GUACACUCCUACGGGAGGCAGCAGUGGGGAAUUUUGGACAAUGGGCGAAAGCCUGAUCCAGCCAUGCCGCGUGCAGGAUGAAGGCCUUCGGGUUGUAAACUGCUUUUGUACGGAACGAAACGGCCUUUUCUAAUAAAGAGGGCUAAUGACGGUACCGUAAGAAUAAGCACCGGCUAACUACGUGCCAGCAGCCGCGGUAAUACGUAGGGUGCAAGCGUUAAUCGGAAUUACUGGGCGUAAAGCGUGCGCAGGCGGUUAUGUAAGACAGUUGUGAAAUCCCCGGGCUCAACCUGGGAACUGCAUCUGUGACUGCAUAGCUAGAGUACGGUAGAGGGGGAUGGAAUUCCGCGUGUAGCAGUGAAAUGCGUAGGUAUGCGGAGGAACACCGAUGGCGAAGGCAAUCCCCUGGACCUGUACUGACGCUCAUGCACGAAAGCGUGGGGAGCAAACAGGAUUAGAAACCCUUGUAGUCCCAUG
This 477-nucleotide ribosomal RNA is filed under the name uncultured organism. RNAcentral describes it as "partial 16S ribosomal RNA". It matches the Rfam family "Bacterial small subunit ribosomal RNA", at positions 331 to 799 of the family's 1533-position model. The record is from RNAcentral.